CUUGGUCAUUUAGAGGAAGUAAAAGUCGUAACAAGGUUUCCGUAGGUGAACCUGCGGAAGGAUCAUUAGUGAAUUCUCCAAAGUCGGCUCGUCGGAUUGUGCUGGUGGAGACACAUGUGCACGUCUUGCGGGUCGCAAACCCAACACACCUUGUGCAUCUUAUGACUCCGAGUGCCGCUUUGCAUGGCCCUUUAUUGGGCCUGGUGCUCGAGUACUUUCACACACUCUUGAAUGUAACGGAAUGUCAUGUCGUGCAUAUAAUGUACAAAACAGAAACAACUUUCAACAACGGAUCUCUUGGCUCUCGCAUCGAUGAAGAACGCAGCGAAAUGCGAUAAGUAAUGUGAAUUGCAGAAUUCAGUGAAUCAUCGAAUCUUUGAACGCACCUUGCACCCUUUGGUAUUCCGAAGGGUACACCCGUUUGAGUGUCAUUGUAAUCUCACUACGAUCGACUUUUUGUCUUUCGGUAUGUGGACUUGGAUGUUGCCGUGAAUAAACAAACGGCUCUUCUGAAAUGCCUGAGUGUACCCCGCUUUGCGGCGUAUUCGGUGUGAUAAAUCUUCACCGGAGUUGACCCCUUUAUUGGGGUCGCGUCUGUAAUGGUGUGGCUCUAUGCUUCGAACCGUCUCUUAUGGAGACAAACCUCUGACAAUUUGACCUCAAAUCGGGUGGGACUACCCGCUGAACUUAAGCAUAUCAAUAAGCGGAGGA
This 711-nucleotide ribosomal RNA is filed under the name uncultured fungus. Its description in RNAcentral is "eukaryotic LSU rRNA". The stretch from base 278 to 431 matches the Rfam family "5.8S ribosomal RNA". The record is from RNAcentral. Lineage: Eukaryota; Fungi.